Molecule: long non-coding RNA, 855 nt
Filed under: Marmota monax (woodchuck)
Lineage: Eukaryota; Metazoa; Chordata; Mammalia; Rodentia; Sciuridae
Source: RNAcentral
GAGGAAGUAAACAUUUCCAAGAUUGCCAGAGCUAAAGGAGAUACCCAAAACAAGACUGAUUCUAUUGAUUGUAAGUUUUCUGUCGAAGGAACCGCUGAGCUAGAGCCAGUCCGACUGAUUCUAUUGAAACUACAAGCAUAAUAUCUUAGGUUGAAGGGUUUCUCUACAUCUCUAAGAGGAAGUCACUGCUUCUCCAACCCCCACUUCACCUGUAGUAAGGAUUUGCACAUGAAGGAAUCUGUCUGACCAACUAUGUUUCCUCUCUCUCCAGAACCCCCACUCAGAGAAGAUGCCAAGACAUUCCUCUGUUUGCCCAUUAGCAGCCAGGGAUAUAUGCAAGCCAGUUUGAAGACUUCUGUGUUGAAAACAAAUAGUUGUGUUAUUGUGUAAGAGGAAGAUUAUGUGUGUGUCAUCAUUUUGUGCUAAGUCUUCUCUAAAUGAAAACUUGAUUAGUCCUAAGUCUAAUCCAAGUUUUCAUUUCAUUUCCUAUAAGUGAACCCCCUAUCCCCUAAAUCUAGUGUCUCUGUUCCGUCUCUGGCUUCUCUUUUUCCUUUAAUUCUGUGCAUCUUUCCAGACAUUUCCUGUGUAUGGAACACUGGGUAGGGAACGAAGGAAACAUAAGAUAAAAAGUGAUCCUUGUUUCUGAGCACCUCAGAGUUUUGUGUGGGGAGGUAGACACAUAAACUCCAUUUCCCUGAGGUUUGGGGUUUUGAGCUCAUCACCACCCUCCCCCUGUAGUUUCUCUUAUUCCUGUUUUGUUUUAUUUUUAAUAUAUUUUUUAGUUGUAGUUGGAUACAAUACCUUUAUUUUAUUCAUUUUUAUGUGGUGUUGAGGAUCAAACCUAGCGUCUCGCAC